AUUAAUGCUAGCGGCAGGCAUAAUACAUGCAAGUUGAACGGCAGCACAGGUAGCAAUACCGGGUGGCGAGUGGCGCACGGGUGCGUAACACGUAUGCAACCUACCCUAUACAGGCGAAUAACCUUUAAAAAUGAGGGCUAAUACGCCGUGGUAUUAUCUUGGGGCAUCUUGAGAUAAUUAAAGAUUUAUCGGUAUAGGAUGGGCAUGCGUCCCAUUAGUUAGUUGGUAGGGUAACGGCCUACCAAGGCUAUGAUGGGUAGGGG
This 263-nucleotide ribosomal RNA is filed under the name uncultured bacterium. RNAcentral's name for it is "partial 16S ribosomal RNA". It matches the Rfam family "Bacterial small subunit ribosomal RNA", at positions 29 to 289 of the family's 1533-position model. The record is from RNAcentral.